This 1552-nucleotide ribosomal RNA is filed under the name Citrobacter koseri. RNAcentral's name for it is "bacterial SSU rRNA". It matches the Rfam family "Bacterial small subunit ribosomal RNA". Lineage: Bacteria; Pseudomonadati; Pseudomonadota; Gammaproteobacteria; Enterobacterales; Enterobacteriaceae. The record is from RNAcentral.
AAAUUGAAGAGUUUGAUCAUGGCUCAGAUUGAACGCUGGCGGCAGGCCUAACACAUGCAAGUCGAACGGUAACAGGAAGCAGCUUGCUGCUUCGCUGACGAGUGGCGGACGGGUGAGUAAUGUCUGGGAAACUGCCUGAUGGAGGGGGAUAACUACUGGAAACGGUAGCUAAUACCGCAUAACGUCGCAAGACCAAAGAGGGGGACCUUCGGGCCUCUUGCCAUCAGAUGUGCCCAGAUGGGAUUAGCUAGUUGGUGGGGUAACGGCUCACCAAGGCGACGAUCCCUAGCUGGUCUGAGAGGAUGACCAGCCACACUGGAACUGAGACACGGUCCAGACUCCUACGGGAGGCAGCAGUGGGGAAUAUUGCACAAUGGGCGCAAGCCUGAUGCAGCCAUGCCGCGUGUAUGAAGAAGGCCUUCGGGUUGUAAAGUACUUUCAGCGGGGAGGAAGGUGUUGUGGUUAAUAACCACAGCAAUUGACGUUACCCGCAGAAGAAGCACCGGCUAACUCCGUGCCAGCAGCCGCGGUAAUACGGAGGGUGCAAGCGUUAAUCGGAAUUACUGGGCGUAAAGCGCACGCAGGCGGUCUGUUAAGUCAGAUGUGAAAUCCCCGGGCUCAACCUGGGAACUGCAUCUGAUACUGGCAGGCUUGAGUCUCGUAGAGGGGGGUAGAAUUCCAGGUGUAGCGGUGAAAUGCGUAGAGAUCUGGAGGAAUACCGGUGGCGAAGGCGGCCCCCUGGACGAAGACUGACGCUCAGGUGCGAAAGCGUGGGGAGCAAACAGGAUUAGAUACCCUGGUAGUCCACGCCGUAAACGAUGUCGACUUGGAGGUUGUGCCCUUGAGGCGUGGCUUCCGGAGCUAACGCGUUAAGUCGACCGCCUGGGGAGUACGGCCGCAAGGUUAAAACUCAAAUGAAUUGACGGGGGCCCGCACAAGCGGUGGAGCAUGUGGUUUAAUUCGAUGCAACGCGAAGAACCUUACCUGGUCUUGACAUCCACGGAAGUUUUCAGAGAUGAGAAUGUGCCUUCGGGAACCGUGAGACAGGUGCUGCAUGGCUGUCGUCAGCUCGUGUUGUGAAAUGUUGGGUUAAGUCCCGCAACGAGCGCAACCCUUAUCCUUUGUUGCCAGCGGUCCGGCCGGGAACUCAAAGGAGACUGCCAGUGAUAAACUGGAGGAAGGUGGGGAUGACGUCAAGUCAUCAUGGCCCUUACGACCAGGGCUACACACGUGCUACAAUGGCAUAUACAAAGAGAAGCGACCUCGCGAGAGCAAGCGGACCUCAUAAAGUAUGUCGUAGUCCGGAUUGGAGUCUGCAACUCGACUCCAUGAAGUCGGAAUCGCUAGUAAUCGUGGAUCAGAAUGCCACGGUGAAUACGUUCCCGGGCCUUGUACACACCGCCCGUCACACCAUGGGAGUGGGUUGCAAAAGAAGUAGGUAGCUUAACCUCCGGGAGGGCGCUUACCACUUUGUGAUUCAUGACUGGGGUGAAGUCGUAACAAGGUAACCGUAGGGGAACCUGCGGUUGGAUCACCUCCUUACCUUAAAGAA